Phyllopteryx taeniolatus (common seadragon) is the source of this 479-nucleotide long non-coding RNA. RefSeq lists it as uncharacterized. Lineage: Eukaryota; Metazoa; Chordata; Actinopteri; Syngnathiformes; Syngnathidae. The transcript is spliced from 4 exons. The record is from RefSeq and is a predicted model, not a curated record.
ACGAACUGUAGGUCAGUGAGCGCCAGGCUCAUCACGAAACAGUCGAUGGAGGAGUAGUGGUGACCUCGGCGACGGAAGUGAAGCAAGAAGAGUGCCAGGAGGUUACCCACGAGUCCCAAGACACACACCACCAGGAUCAGAAGCUGUAAAGUGAGAGCCAGGUGCCGGCAAGCUAUGCUACAAAAAUAUGUAUUGGCGUUAAGCGUGAAGGGGCCGGGUCUACCACAUCGGACAGGACCCCAGGUGGAGACAGUGGAAAGAAGCCUCAGAGACAGCGCAGCACAUCACACAGCAAGGUGUAAAAUGCUGGCACGCAAGGCAUACAUGGAGCGGCAUAACCAGAUCCACAGAAGGUUCCUUGGAGAGGAUCUGGAGCCAGCAGUUGAGGGACAGGUUCAAGGCAGCCAGGUUGGACCCGGCUCCGCUGGGGUUGACCAGUUUGGAGAGUUCACGCUCAUCUUCCUCUCCCCCGCAUGCGC